This 70-nucleotide transfer RNA is filed under the name Eudromia elegans (elegant crested-tinamou). Its description in RNAcentral is "tRNA-Lys". The record is from RNAcentral. Lineage: Eukaryota; Metazoa; Chordata; Aves; Tinamiformes; Tinamidae.
CAUUAAGAAGCUAUGCCACAGCACUAGCCUUUUAAGCUAGAACAUAGAGGUGUAUUAUCCUCCUUAAUGA